RNAcentral lists this unclassified non-coding RNA (272 nucleotides) under soil metagenome. RNAcentral describes it as "partial contains small subunit ribosomal RNA, internal transcribed spacer 1, and 5.8S ribosomal RNA". The record is from RNAcentral.
UAACCGUAGGUGAACCUGCGGUUGGAUCAUUUGAAAGAUCAUAAAUAUCAGCCUUUCUAAAAGCUGGUUAACAUCCAUGUGCACCAAAAAAUGUCCUUGGUGGGGGGGUGGUCUUUUGACCAUCUGUCAGCAUGCGCUUUCUUUGCUUCAUGCCGUGGACAUCCCACCAACUGUAAAUUGAGAACAUUUAAGUAACUUUUUUUUGUCUGACAAUGUACUUUGUAUAAAUUAAAUAUACAAAACAACUUUUGGCAACGGAUCUCUUGGCUCUC